This is a long non-coding RNA of Coregonus clupeaformis (lake whitefish), 836 nucleotides long. RefSeq lists it as uncharacterized. The transcript is spliced from 3 exons. The record is from RefSeq and is a predicted model, not a curated record. NCBI's taxonomy places the organism in Eukaryota, Metazoa, Chordata, Actinopteri, Salmoniformes, Salmonidae.
AAAGCUUCUUCUUGUUUGAGCCAAACAUCUUUUUAUAUCUGACAUUUGAGUGAGAAACAGUCAACUUGCUUUGCUAAGGCUAAUCCUGUCACUUGACCAGUUUUCAGAUGGAUCUCCUCACCAGCGUCCAGCAUUGGCCUUUUGGAUACAUGGAUUUUGCCCCUCCAGCUGAGGAUUCAGCAGCUGAAGAGCCACCAAUUGAGGAGCCUCCAUCCCCUUCUCGUUCUAAGUUGUUAACGAGAAUAUCCAUAUGCACGCCAACGGCGCCCUAUUCCACUUGGACCUAUUCUACCAAGAAGUUAAUGAAGCCCCACCAGCUGAGCCUCCAUUCCCUUGUUCCAUGUUCCAACCGCGCCUAUUCAGCCCGUACCUAUUCCGCCAAGAAGUUAAUGAAGCCCCACCAGCUGAGAUUAACCACCUACACCAGUUGACAGCUGAGAUUAACAUCCUACACCAGUUGAGGAUUCAGCAGCAGACGAGCCACCAACCGAGGAGCCUCCCUUCUCUUAAAUCGUUACUGGAUUGCCACAGAGAAAUUGAGGAAAUACAUAAUUCUCCUCUGGAUUUGUGGUCUUCAGCCUCCCCAUGGGGCCAGGACUAUAACAAGGACCAGGGCCAGGAUCCAGGUAGCGGAUGGAGAACACACGGACCACCUGGAGACCCACGUGCUAUCGCUGCCCUCCUGUUGCUGGGUUGUCAAUAGUUACCACAGCCACACAAAGUCAAAAUUGGCUAUAUCAUAAAACUUUAGGAAGAGAAACAUUAGCUUUUUGGUCUUAAUUUAAGGUUAGGGUUAGGCAUAAGGUUAGCAGUAUGGUUAAGGUUAGGGUUAGAUU